GUGAUUAUAAGAAGGUAUACUGUCUGGUUGAAGAACAUGAGCCAUCAAAUGAAUAAUACAUGUGUGUUUGGUAAUUAAUUAAGUUGGGGCAAAAAAAUACAUAAGUCAAAAUAAUAUUCUCUUCAUAUUGAUUCUGUAAACCAAAUUGUUAACUCCGCAUCCAUGUAAACGACGAAAGACGGUUGUUUCUUAGAAGCUAGUGCUAAGCUAGACUCCUUUUAGCUAGACUCUUUUUUUUUGCAUCCUCACUUUCUUAAACAUUCCCAUCAGUCACUUUUAUGUUUUCUUUCUGUAAGUCUAUGUCUCAAUUAGAGGGAUCCGACUAUCUUUUCUCUAGUCCUGGGACGG
Molecule: long non-coding RNA, 348 nt
Filed under: Brassica napus (rape)
Lineage: Eukaryota; Viridiplantae; Streptophyta; Magnoliopsida; Brassicales; Brassicaceae
Description: long non-coding RNA (BNAP_LNC012378)
Source: RNAcentral